UGACCCCAUACGAUCAGUGAAGUUAAGCAACAUCAAGCCUGGUCAGUACCUAGAUAGGUGACCACUUGGGAAUAUCAUUUGCUGUAA
Acanthosepion pharaonis is the source of this 87-nucleotide non-coding RNA. The record is from the annotation of a GenBank genome assembly. Lineage: Eukaryota; Metazoa; Mollusca; Cephalopoda; Sepiida; Sepiidae.